AACGCACAUUGCGCUCUUUGGUAUUCCGAAGAGCAUGCUUGUUUGAGUAUCAGUAAACACCUUCAAUCACUCAUUUUUUUUUUUUUAAAAAAAAUGGGAGACUGGAUAUGAGCGAACCCAACUAAAGCUUUCUUUUAUAAAAAAAGUCAGCUAUGGGGCGGGCCGCUUGAAAUUAAGGAAUGGCAGGACGUUCAAUGGAUCGACUGCGCUACUAGCAUUACUUACUUAGUCCGCAUUGCGGGUUAUUACUUAUUGCUGCAGCGAAAAUAAAAAGGUCGAUUUGGUCCCUUUGCCCUUUUACUGAUGCAGGGAACUUGUCGAAGGUAGGCAGGAAAAGAUUUCUCUUCCUUACUGUCCUCGAUAUUUAAAACUCGAUCUCAAAUCAAGUAGGACUACCCGCUGAACUUAA
Molecule: unclassified non-coding RNA, 409 nt
Filed under: uncultured fungus
Lineage: Eukaryota; Fungi
Description: partial contains 5.8S ribosomal RNA, internal transcribed spacer 2, and large subunit ribosomal RNA
Source: RNAcentral